AAACUAACAAGGAUUCCCCUAGUAACUGCGAGUGAAGCGGGAAGAGCUCAAAUUUAAAAUCUGGUGGUCUUUGGCCAUCCGAGUUGUAAUCUGGAGAAGUGUUUUCCGUGUCGGACCGUGUACAAGUCUCUUGGAACAGAGCGUCAUAGAGGGUGAGAAUCCCGUCCAUGACACGGACUACCGAUGCUAUGUGAUACACUCUCAAAGAGUCGAGUUGUUUGGGAAUGCAGCUCAAAAUGGGUGGUAAAUUCCAUCUAAAGCUAAAUAUUGGCGAGAGACCGAUAGCGAACAAGUACCGUGAGGGAAAGAUGAAAAGCACUUUGGAAAGAGAGUUAAACAGUACGUGAAAUUGUUGAAAGGGAAACGCUUGAAGUCAGUCGCGUUGUUCAGGACUCAGCCUUGUUUUUGCUUGGUGUACUUCCUGUUCAACGGGUCAACAUCGAUUUUGACCGGCGGAUAAAGGUGGGGGGAAUGUGGCACCUUCGGGUGUGUUAUAGCCCUCUAUUGCAUACGUCGGUUGGGAUUGAGGACCGCAGCGCGCCCUCUGGGCCAGGGGUUCGCCCCAUGUAACGCGCUUAGGAUGUUGGCAUAAUGGCUUUAAGGACCCGUCU
Molecule: ribosomal RNA, 611 nt
Filed under: Egonia cineracea
Lineage: Eukaryota; Fungi; Basidiomycota; Agaricomycetes; Hymenochaetales
Description: Kneiffiella cineracea partial 28S ribosomal RNA
Rfam family: Eukaryotic large subunit ribosomal RNA
Source: RNAcentral